GACGAACGCUGGCGGCGUGCUUAACACAUGCAAGUCGAACGGAAAGGCCCUGCUUUUGUGGGGUGCUCGAGUGGCGAACGGGUGAGUAACACGUGAGUAACCUGCCCUUGACUUUGGGAUAACUUCAGGAAACUGGGGCUAAUACCGGAUAGGAGCUCCUGCUGCAUGGUGGGGGUUGGAAAGUUUCGGCGGUUGGGGAUGGACUCGCGGCUUAUCAGCUUGUUGGUGGGGUAGUGGCUUACCAAGGCUUUGACGGGUAGCCGGCCUGAGAGGGUGACCGGCCACAUUAGGACUGAGAUACGACCCAGACUCCUACGGGAGGCAGCAGUGGGGAAUAUUGCGCAAUGGGCGAGAGCCUGAUGCAGCAACGCCGCGUGCGGGAUGACGGCCUUCGGGUUGUAAACCGCUUUCGCCUGUGACGAAGCGUGAGUGACGGUAAUGGGUAAAGAAGCACCGGCUAACUACGUG
This 468-nucleotide ribosomal RNA is filed under the name uncultured bacterium. RNAcentral's name for it is "partial 16S ribosomal RNA". It matches the Rfam family "Bacterial small subunit ribosomal RNA", at positions 28 to 507 of the family's 1533-position model. The record is from RNAcentral.